UCGAAUGUUCAAGAUUUCUUUGCAUAAGCAAAUAUCAUAAGAUCGACCGUGCAAGUCGAAACAACAUAUUUUACAAGUAUGAUUAAUAUAAAAAUCAAUGAACAAACUAUAUCUAAAACUAAAAGACAGAGUUGACAACACAUUUUAUAAUUUAAUAGAAAACUAUCAGAAAUCAAAACAUGUUGGUAUCGACAUAAGUUAGGUGCACACUUUGAAAAAAAGAUUAUAUCGAAAAUUCCUAGUUAUCAGAAUCUCUCAAUCCAUUCAAAUUUUCAUUUCAACUUUUGAAAAAACAUCAAAUUCGAAAUUUUUGUGUAGAGAUUCAAAAAAAUUUAUUGUCAAAAAUUAAAAUCUCAUUCCGACUUGGACCCCUAGUU
RNAcentral lists this long non-coding RNA (377 nucleotides) under Malus domestica (apple). RNAcentral describes it as "long non-coding RNA (MDOM_LNC020951)". Lineage: Eukaryota; Viridiplantae; Streptophyta; Magnoliopsida; Rosales; Rosaceae. The record is from RNAcentral.